Long non-coding RNA from Physeter macrocephalus (sperm whale), 1384 nucleotides. RefSeq lists it as uncharacterized. The transcript has 3 exons. NCBI's taxonomy places the organism in Eukaryota, Metazoa, Chordata, Mammalia, Artiodactyla, Physeteridae. The record is from RefSeq and is a predicted model, not a curated record.
CAUGCUGCAGGCCAUUAACUCAUGGGUUGCACAUGUGUGGCCACAGAGCAGAGCCUGUCACACCUCAGGGACAACAUGGAAGAGGCAUGUGACACCAGCAAAGGGACCCUGACCAGUCAAGGUGCCGAAUGAACAAAUUGAGAAAAAAGACGGGACACACAUAUGGGGAGAAUGCCAUGUGGAAAUGAAGGCAGAGAUUGACGUGAUGUUUCUGCAUAUCAAGAAAUACAAAAGGUAACCAUCAAAGUACCAGAAGCUAGGGGAGAGGCAUGGAACAUAUUAUUUCAUAGUCCUCAGAAGGAACUGACCCUGUCAACACCUUAAUCUUGGACUUUAACCUCCAGACUGUGAGAUAAUACAUUUCUGUGGUUUAAGCCACUCAGUGUGUGGUACUCUGUCAGCUCUAGCAAAAUAAUACCUUACUGACCACAUGUGCCAUUCAUUGGAAAGCUCUUCAUUUCUCUAGCUUUAAUAAUUUAUCCACUUCAAGCUUCAAGUCUCACCUUGGAACUUCUAUAACCACCAUUCUCUUGUAGACUUUACCGAUGCACAAAAUUCCUGGCAAGCAACUCCAGAAUCCAUUUCUUGAACUCCUACAUUAUAGGUUUACAAACUCCUCAAAAUACAGGAUAAAUAAAUGAAUCUUAUGGGCAAAUAAUGUAUCUGUCUGGCCUAAGCAAACCAAUGUAUACCGGUUAAAUUAUAGAAUAGUAUCUCAAUGCACCAGAACAUGUUGAUUUUGUUUGCAGAUAUUUAUGGUGGCUUUUUAAGAGUGUGGUAUCAAACUGAAUGCAGGCCAUAUGUUAUCUAAAGGAUGAACCAUAAACAAAUAUUUGUUAUUUGGAUAAUAAGGGGUUUGUAGGGCAACAAACUCAUAUAAGUUAAGAAACAAAAUACUCUUACUUCAUAAUAUAUACAUCUUGAAAGAUGAUAAUUAUAUGUUAUGAUUUUUUAAAUUGUACAGUAAUUUGAAUUGCAAUUGCAAUUUUAAAUGAACAAUUGGGAUGGAUAAUUAUAUCUCAUUAUGUCAACUGGGUUACUCUGAUGAGUUCUAUUUCUGGAUACUGGUGAAAGUAAAAUGGGUCCCCAAAUAUGAUUUAUUUAGCAAAAUGGUAUGUUCACCUUAUGUUCCUGAGCUGUUUCUAUAGAAAAUAAUACUUAAAUGUUUGUUAGUGAUCAGGUUAAGUUUGGGAGAUUCAUCUGAAAAAACUGAAAAGGAGGAUGAAUUGGGAGAUUGGGAUUGACAUAUAUACACUGCUAUGUAUAAAAUAGAUAAUUAAUGAGAACCUACUGUAUAGCACAGGGAACUCUACUCAGUGCUCUUUGGUGAUCUAAAUUGGAAGGAAAUCUAAAAAAGAGGGGAUAUAUGUAUAACUGAUUCACU